UACCAGCUCUCCGAGUGGUAGGGAUGAUUAUUGGGCUUAAAGCGUCCGUAGCCAGCUUAGCAAGUCUCCUGUUAAAUUCAGCGACCUAAUCGUUGAGCCGCGGGAGAUACUACUAGGCUAGGAGGCGGGAGAGGUCAACGGUACUUCCGGGGUAGGGGUGAAAUCCUAUAAUCCCGGGUGGACCACCAGUGGCGAAGGCUGUUGACUAGAACGCGCUCGACGGUGAGGGACGAAAGCUGGGGGAGCGAACCGGAUUAGAUACCCGGGUAGUCCCAGCUGUAAACGAUGCGAGCUAGGUGUUGGGGUGGCUACGUGCCACUUCAGUGCCGCAGGGAAGCCAUUAAGCUCGCCGCCUGGGGAUACGGCCGCAAGGCUGAAACUUAAAGGAAUUGGCGGGGAGCACCACAAGGCGUGAAGCUUGCGGUUC
RNAcentral lists this ribosomal RNA (427 nucleotides) under uncultured archaeon. RNAcentral's name for it is "bacterial SSU rRNA". It matches the Rfam family "Archaeal small subunit ribosomal RNA", at positions 474 to 903 of the family's 1478-position model. The record is from RNAcentral.